This 86-nucleotide transfer RNA is filed under the name Puniceicoccus vermicola. Its description in RNAcentral is "tRNA-Leu". It matches the Rfam family "tRNA". Rfam says of the family: Transfer RNA (tRNA) molecules are approximately 80 nucleotides in length. The record is from RNAcentral. Lineage: Bacteria; Pseudomonadati; Verrucomicrobiota; Opitutia; Puniceicoccales; Puniceicoccaceae.
GCCCAGGUGGCGGAAUUGGCAGACGCGAUAGACUCAAAAUCUGUUUCCCUUUGGGAGUGUGGGUUCGAUUCCCACCCUGGGCACCA